GCUCAAAUUUGAAAUCUGGCCCUUGGGUCCGAAUUGUAAUUUGUAGAGGAUGAUUUUGGUGCGGUAUCUUCCGAGUUCCUUGGAACAGGACGCCUUAGAGGGUGAGAGCCCCGUACGGUUGAAUGCCUAGCCUCUGUAAAUCUCCUUCGACGAGUCGAGUAGUUUGGGAAUGCUGCUCUAAAUGGGAGGUAAAUUUCUUCUAAAGCUAAAUACUGGCCAGAGACCGAUAGCGCACAAGUAGAGUGAUCGAAAGAUGAAAAGCACUUUGAAAAGAGGGUUAAAUAGCACGUGAAAUUGUUGAAAGGGAAGGAUUUAUGACCAGACUUUUUCUGGGCGGAUCAUCCGGUGUUCUCACCGGUGCACUUUGCCCAGUUUAGGCCAGCAUCGAUUUUUGGAGAGGGAUAAAAGCUUUAGGAAUGUGGCUCCUCCGGGAGUGUUAUAGCCUAUUGUAUAAUACCUUUCCGGGGAUCGAGGUACGCGCUUCUGCAAGGAUGCUGGCGUAAUGGUUAUCAAUCACCCGUCUUGAAACACGGACCAAGGAGUCGAACAUUUGUGCGAGUGUUUGGGUGUUAAACCCUCACGCGUAAUGAAAGUGAACGGAGGUGAGAGCCCUUACGGGUGCAUCAUCGACCGAUCCUGAAGUUUUCGGAUGGAUUUGAGUAAGAGCAUAACUGUUCGGACCCGAAAGAUGGUGAACUAUGCGUGGAUAGGGUGAAGCCAGAGGAAACUCUGG
This 733-nucleotide ribosomal RNA is filed under the name Seiridium guangyuanum. RNAcentral describes it as "partial large subunit ribosomal RNA". It matches the Rfam family "Eukaryotic large subunit ribosomal RNA", at positions 107 to 867 of the family's 3401-position model. The record is from RNAcentral. Lineage: Eukaryota; Fungi; Ascomycota; Sordariomycetes; Amphisphaeriales; Sporocadaceae.